RNAcentral lists this transfer RNA (120 nucleotides) under Deltaproteobacteria bacterium. RNAcentral describes it as "tRNA-OTHER". It matches the Rfam family "tRNA". Rfam says of the family: Transfer RNA (tRNA) molecules are approximately 80 nucleotides in length. Lineage: Bacteria; Pseudomonadati; Myxococcota; Myxococcia. The record is from RNAcentral.
GCGGAGUUGGCGGACCGGCUUACGCACCCGCCUGCAAUGAGCCAAAAGGAGGCUGACGCUUCCAAAAAAAAGGCUUAAAGCAGAUAGCGGGCCAAGGGGGUUCGAUUCCCUCACUCCGCU